Molecule: transfer RNA, 72 nt
Filed under: Geodermatophilaceae bacterium
Lineage: Bacteria; Bacillati; Actinomycetota; Actinomycetes; Geodermatophilales; Geodermatophilaceae
Also listed under: 2 other names
Description: tRNA-Val
Rfam family: tRNA
About the family: Transfer RNA (tRNA) molecules are approximately 80 nucleotides in length.
Source: RNAcentral
GGGCGCGUAGCUCAGCGGUAGAGCACCCGCCUUACAAGCGGGUGGUCGCAGGUUCGAAACCUGCCGCGCCCA